GAUGAACGCUGGCGGCGUGCCUAAUACAUGCAAGUCGAGCGAACGGACGAGAAUCUUGCUUCUCUGAUGUUAGCGGCGGACGGGUGAGUAACACGUGGAUAACCUACCUAUAAUACUGGGAUAACUUCGGGAAACCGGAGCUAAUACCGUAUAAUAUUUUGAACCGCAUGGUUCAAAAGUGAAAUUCGGUCUUUCUGUCACUUAUAGAGGGAUCCGCGCUGCAUUAGCUAGUUGGUAAGGUAACGGCUUAGCAAGGCAACGAUGCAUAGCCGAACUGAUAGGGGGGUCGGCCACAGUAGAAGUGGGACGGGGACCAGACUACUAAGGGAGGGAGCAGUAGGGAAUGUGACGCAAUGGGCGAGAGCAUGACGGAGCAGCGGCGCGCGAGAGAUGGAGGUCUUCGGAUCGUGAAACUCUGUUACUAGGGAAGAACAUAUGUGUACGUAACUGUGGACAUAGUGACGGUAACUAGUAAGAAAGCCACGGCUAACUACGUG
RNAcentral lists this ribosomal RNA (497 nucleotides) under uncultured bacterium. Its description in RNAcentral is "partial 16S ribosomal RNA". It matches the Rfam family "Bacterial small subunit ribosomal RNA", at positions 28 to 507 of the family's 1533-position model. The record is from RNAcentral.